UAAUACAUGCAAGUCGAACGAGGUGCUUUUGUAGUAAUACGGAGAGUAUCCUAGUGGCGAACGGGUGAGUAACGCGUGUGGUGACCUACCCCAAAGUGUGGGAUAACAGUUCGAAAGGAUUGCUAAUACCUCAUGUGGUCUUCGGAUUUAGAAACUGAUGACUAAAGGAGUAAUCCGCUUUGGGAGGGACCUGCGUCCCAUCAGCUAGUUGGUGAGGUAAUGGCUCACCAAGGCUACGACGGGUAGGGGACCUGAGAGGGUGACCCCCCACAAUGGAACUGAAACACGGUCCAUACACCUACGGGUGGCAGCAGUAGGGAAUAUUGCACAAUGGGCGAAAGCCUGAUGGUGCGACGUCGCGUGAGGGAUGAAGGCCUUCGGGUUGUAAACCUCUGUCACCGGG
Molecule: ribosomal RNA, 403 nt
Filed under: uncultured bacterium
Lineage: Bacteria
Description: bacterial SSU rRNA
Rfam family: Bacterial small subunit ribosomal RNA
Source: RNAcentral